Molecule: ribosomal RNA, 259 nt
Filed under: uncultured bacterium
Lineage: Bacteria
Description: partial 16S ribosomal RNA
Rfam family: Bacterial small subunit ribosomal RNA
Source: RNAcentral
UUCGGAAGUACACGAGUGGCAAACGGGUGCGUAACACGUAUGCAACCUACCUUCAACAAGGGGAUAGCCUCGGGAAACCGGGAUUAAUACCCUAUGGACUUUUAAUAUCACCUGAUAUAAAGAGUAAAACUACGGUGGUUGAAGAUGGGCAUGCGUCCUAUUAGCUAGUUGGUGAGGUAACGGCUCACCAAGGCAACGAUAGGUAGGGGGCGUGAGAGCGUGAUCCCCCACACGGGCACUGAGACACGGGCCCGACUCC